CUGCCUUACACAGGGGGAUAACACCUGGAAACAGGUGCUAAUACCGCAUAAGCGCACAGGGCCGCAUGGCCCGGUGUGAAAAACUCCGGUGGUGUAAGAUGGACCCGCGUCUGAUUAGCUUGUUGGCGGGGUAGGGGCCCACCAAGGCGACGAUCAGUAGCCGGCCUGAGAGGGUGGACGGCCACAUUGGGACUGAGACACGGCCCAAACUCCUACGGGAGGCAGCAGUGGGGGAUAUUGGACAAUGGGGGAAACCCUGAUCCAGCGACGCCGCGUGAGUGAAGAAGUAUUUCGGUAUGUAAAGCUCUGUCAGCAGGGAAGAAAGAAAUGACGGUACCUGACCAAGAAGCCCCGGCUAACUACGUGCCAGCAGCCGCGGUAAUACGUAGGGGGCAAGCGUUAUCCGGAAUUACUGGGUGUAAAGGGAGCGUAGACGGUGAUGCAAGUCUGGAGUGAAAGGCGGGGGCCCAACCCCCGGACUGCUCUGGAAACUGUGUAACUUGAGUGCAGGAGAGGUAAGCGGAAUUCCUAGUGUAGCGGUGAAAUGCGUAGAUAUUAGGAGGAACACCAGUGGCGAAGGCGGCUUACUGGACUGUAACUGACGUUGAGGCUCGAAAGCGUGGGGAGCAAACAGGAUUAGAUACCCUGGUAGUCCACGCCGUAAACGAUGA
This 671-nucleotide ribosomal RNA is filed under the name uncultured bacterium. RNAcentral describes it as "bacterial SSU rRNA". It matches the Rfam family "Bacterial small subunit ribosomal RNA", at positions 126 to 812 of the family's 1533-position model. The record is from RNAcentral.